UUUAAUUCUCAAACUUUAAUCACCCAAAAGUCCAAAACCCAGCAGGAAGAGGAAGGAAGAGAAACAGGUUCGGCAGUGAAAGAGCUCAGGCAGUCAGUUCAGAGCCACUGUGACCUUUCCCUUGCCAUCUCGCCGCCCUUGUGCCGGCGGUGCCUUGGUGGUUCCGCCGCACCGUUCUACGUUGGGAACGCAGUUGUCUCAGGUGAUCAGAUUGAAGAUUGAAGAAUGUAAUGUAUGUAACUACUUUGAGAGGCAUGACAUUGAAUUUGCACCAAUGAGAAAAAAGUGUAAUUACUAGACUAUUGGACACUAAUGGAAGACUGAAGAAUGAAGCUGCAAUGCAUAAGAGAAUCCCUAAGUGGCUUUGGUGAUUAUUAGUGGUUUCUUAAAUCAAUAGUGGGAUUGUGAUAGCCUUUUGUUUGGGGUCCAAGUGUUAACAUUGAAAGUCAUCUUUAUUUGCAGUGACUAAAUAUGUAGGAAUACUAAAAAAAAUGAUUUUUAAUGUAAUGUAUCUAUAUGUGAAAAUUAGAUGUAAUGUAAUAUAAAAAUGUUCACAACUAUGUAAUGUUCAACUUAUGAAAUUAAUGGCAGUAUAUUUUCUCAAGUUUA
Long non-coding RNA from Quercus lobata, 609 nucleotides. RefSeq lists it as uncharacterized. The record is from RefSeq and is a predicted model, not a curated record. The transcript has 2 exons. Lineage: Eukaryota; Viridiplantae; Streptophyta; Magnoliopsida; Fagales; Fagaceae.